AUGAUCAUUAUAAAAAAAUUUAGUAUAGAAAACUCUCUUAUAAAAUCAUCUUUUUCAUUUUUCCUUCCCAACUUUCAAAAAUCUAUAUUUUACCCUUUCAACAUUUCAAGUUGUUGUAUUUAACUCCCCUCUAUCAAGGUUCCAUUAGUAUCCUGUUCAUUUUUUAUAAUUUAUACUGAAUUUCUUUUCAAAAUAACAGAAAUAUAUUAAAAAAUAUUUUAUAGAAGAAGUAAAGGCUGUUUGGUUAUUUCACCCUCUCCAUUAAUAACGUAUCUCCCUGAAAAUAUUUUUGAAAUUUUAAAGGAGCAAAAGACAGAUUUUUGAAAGUCGAUAAGGAAAAGUGAAAAUCAGGUAUUUAUAAGGAGAUUGUUUAUAUUUU
Molecule: long non-coding RNA, 379 nt
Filed under: Ananas comosus (pineapple)
Lineage: Eukaryota; Viridiplantae; Streptophyta; Magnoliopsida; Poales; Bromeliaceae
Description: long non-coding RNA (ACOM_LNC022958)
Source: RNAcentral